RNAcentral lists this ribosomal RNA (461 nucleotides) under Vibrio parahaemolyticus. RNAcentral describes it as "bacterial SSU rRNA". It matches the Rfam family "Bacterial small subunit ribosomal RNA", at positions 1082 to 1533 of the family's 1533-position model. Lineage: Bacteria; Pseudomonadati; Pseudomonadota; Gammaproteobacteria; Vibrionales; Vibrionaceae. The record is from RNAcentral.
AAGUCCCGCAACGAGCGCAACCCUUAUCCUUGUUUGCCAGCGAGUAAUGUCGGGAACUCCAGGGAGACUGCCGGUGAUAAACCGGAGGAAGGUGGGGACGACGUCAAGUCAUCAUGGCCCUUACGAGUAGGGCUACACACGUGCUACAAUGGCGCAUACAGAGGGCAGCCAACUUGCGAAAGUGAGCGAAUCCCAAAAAGUGCGUCGUAGUCCGGAUUGGAGUCUGCAACUCGACUCCAUGAAGUCGGAAUCGCUAGUAAUCGUGGAUCAGAAUGCCACGGUGAAUACGUUCCCGGGCCUUGUACACACCGCCCGUCACACCAUGGGAGUGGGCUGCAAAAGAAGUAGGUAGUUUAACCUUCGGGGGGACGCUUACCACUUUGUGGUUCAUGACUGGGGUGAAGUCGUAACAAGGUAGCGCUAGGGGAACCUGGCGCUGGAUCACCUCCUUAAACGAUGAU